CCUACGGGGGGCAGCAGUGGGGAAUAUUGGACAAUGGGGGGAACCCUGAUCCAGCCAUGCCGCGUGUGUGAAGAAGGCCUUUUGGUUGUAAAGCACUUUAAGUGGGGAGGAGGCUUACCUGGUUAAUACCUGGGCUAAGUGGACGUUACCCACAGAAUAAGCACCGGCUAACUCUGUGCCAGCAGCCGCGGUAAUACAGAGGGUGCGAGCGUUAAUCGGAUUUACUGGGCGUAAAGCGCGCGUAGGUGGUUAAUUAAGUCAAAUGUGAAAUCCCCGAGCUUAACUUGGGAAUUGCAUUCG
RNAcentral lists this ribosomal RNA (300 nucleotides) under uncultured Acinetobacter sp. RNAcentral describes it as "bacterial SSU rRNA". It matches the Rfam family "Bacterial small subunit ribosomal RNA", at positions 338 to 629 of the family's 1533-position model. The record is from RNAcentral. Lineage: Bacteria; Pseudomonadati; Pseudomonadota; Gammaproteobacteria; Moraxellales; Moraxellaceae.